UACGUAGGGAGCAAGCGUUGUCCGGAUUUACUGGGUGUAAAGGGUGCGUAGGCGGGCUUGCAAGUCAGAAGUGAAAUCUAUGGGCUUAACCCAUAAACUGCUUUUGAAACUGUAAGUCUUGAGUGAAGUAGAGGUAGGCGGAAUUCCCGGUGUAGCGGUGAAAUGCAUAGAUAUCACGCAGAACUCCGAUUGCGAAGGCAGCAUACCGGCGCCCAACUGACGCUGAAGCACGAAAGCGUGGGUAUCGAACAGG
This 253-nucleotide ribosomal RNA is filed under the name uncultured Ruminococcus sp. RNAcentral describes it as "partial 16S ribosomal RNA". It matches the Rfam family "Bacterial small subunit ribosomal RNA", at positions 524 to 776 of the family's 1533-position model. The record is from RNAcentral. Lineage: Bacteria; Bacillati; Bacillota; Clostridia; Eubacteriales; Oscillospiraceae.